Molecule: ribosomal RNA, 486 nt
Filed under: uncultured bacterium
Lineage: Bacteria
Description: partial 16S ribosomal RNA
Rfam family: Bacterial small subunit ribosomal RNA
Source: RNAcentral
AUUGAACGCUGGCGGCAUGCCUUACACAUGCAAGUCGAACGGCAGCACGGGUGCUUGCACCUGGUGGCGAGUGGCGAACGGGUGAGUAAUACAUCGGAACAUGUCCUGUAGUGGGGGAUAGCCCGGCGAAAGCCGGCUUAAUACCGCAUACGAUCUACGGAUGAAAGCGGGGGACCUUCGGGCCUCGCGCUAUAGGGUUGGCCGAUGGCUGAUUAGCUAGUUGGUGGGGUAAAGGCCUACCAAGGCGACGAUCAGUAGAUGGUCUGAGAGGACGACCAGCCACACUGGGACUGAGACACGGCCCAGACUCCUACGGGAGGCAGCGGUGGGGAAUUUUGGACAAUGGGCGAAAGCCUGAUCCAGCAAUGCCGCGUGUGUGAAGAAGGCCUUCGGGUUGUAAAGCACUUUUGUCCGGAAAGAAAUCCUUGGCUCUAAUACAGUCGGGGGAUGACGGUACCGGAAGAAUAAGCACCGGCUAACUACGUG